RNAcentral lists this ribosomal RNA (478 nucleotides) under uncultured bacterium. RNAcentral describes it as "bacterial SSU rRNA". It matches the Rfam family "Bacterial small subunit ribosomal RNA", at positions 30 to 507 of the family's 1533-position model. The record is from RNAcentral.
AUUGAACGCUGGCGGCAUGCCUUACACAUGCAAGUCGAACGGCAGCGGACCUUCGGGUGCCGGCGAGUGGCGAACGGGUGAGUAAUAUAUCGGAACGUACCUUCAGGUGGGGGAUAACGUAGCGAAAGUUACGCUAAUACCGCAUAUUCUGUGAGCAGGAAAGCAGGGGAUCGCAAGACCUUGCGCUGAUUGAGCGGCCGAUAUCAGAUUAGCUAGUUGGUGAGGUAAAGGCUCACCAAGGCGACGAUCUGUAGCGGGUCUGAGAGGAUGAUCCGCCACACUGGAACUGAGACACGGUCCAGACUCCUACGGGAGGCAGCAGUGGGGAAUAUUGGACAAUGGAGGCAACUCUGAUCCAGCCAUGCCGCGUGGAGGAUGACUGCCCUCUGGGUUGUAAACUCCUUUUGUACAGGAAGAAACCUCCUCAUUUAUGAGUGAGCUGACGGUACUGUAAGAAUAAGCACCGGCUAACUCCGUG